RNAcentral lists this ribosomal RNA (496 nucleotides) under uncultured bacterium. Its description in RNAcentral is "partial 16S ribosomal RNA". It matches the Rfam family "Bacterial small subunit ribosomal RNA", at positions 29 to 507 of the family's 1533-position model. The record is from RNAcentral.
AUGAACGCUGGCGGCGUGCCUCAUACAUGCCAGUCGAGCGAACAGACGAGGAGCUUGCUCCUCUGACGUUAGCGGCGGACGGGUGAGUAACACGUGGAUAACCUACCUAUAAGACUGGGAUAACUUCGGGAAACCGGAGCUAAUACCGGAUAAUAUAUUGAACCGCAUGGUUCCAUAGUGAAAGACGGUUUUGCUGUCACUUAUAGAUGGAUCCGCGCCGCAUUAGCUAGUUGGUAAGGUAACGGCUUACCAAGGCGACGAUGCGUAGCCGACCUGAGAGGGUGAUCGGCCACACUGGAACUGAGACACGGUCCAGACUCCUACGAGAGGCAGCAGUAGGGAAUCUUCCGCAAUGGGCGAAAGCCUGACGGAGCAACGCCGCGUGAGUGAUGAAGGUCUUCGGAUCGUAAAACUCUGUUAUUAGGGAAGAACAAAUGUGUAAGUAACUAUGCACGUCUUGACGGUACCUAAUCAGAAAGCCACGGCUAACUACGUG